AAAGCCCGGGCAUGCUAGUCAUUUCCUCACUCCGCCCCUUGUACGCCGCCCCGAAGGUUUGUCUCUGGGCGGUAAACAAACACACACACACGAAAUCUUGACACCACUGAGGCCAUCUAAAAGUCAAAAACAGACGAAAACGUCAAAAUCCUAAAAAGCUGAGAAGGCUUGGGGGGUGGGUUUGCAGGUGCUUUGGAAGAAGUGUCCGCGCAGGGGGGUGCUGUGAGGAUUUCCCUGCAGGGGAUGGGACCGCCGUGCAGUGGGAGAGCAGAAGGCCCCGGCUUCGCUCCCCGGCAGCAGCCUCUCCAGGUGGGCGGUCUGGCUGUUGAAGUGGUGCUGGGUGAGCCUCUAAUUGCCUUUUGUGACCCGCCAUGAAGAUGAUCUAUUGUCUGAGACUGGCCUGACCUGCUUAAGAAAUAAGCUGUUUUUAAAAAAAUAAUAUUUACAUACUACUUCUUGGCCAAAAGUUGAAAGACGUUUACAUAGCAAAAGGAAUGAGAAGAUAGUUCCUGGUGCCAGAGGGGCUCACGGCCCAUAAAAGAAACAACAGGCACAGCCAAUGGAGACAGGCUCUGCUGGGCUGAAUAUUUUAUUUUAUUUUAUUUUAUUUUUAUUUAGCAUAUUUGUAUACCGCCCACUACCCAAGUCUCUAGGCAGUUUACAACAUUACAACCAACCAAGAACAUUUUAAACCAACUUAAAACAUAUUAAAAGUUCAAAUUAAAAUACCCAUAAAACUGCCAAAUAGCUAAAAAGCUUGCCUUGCUCGGGCCCGGUUAAAUGUGUUGCCCUCUUCUCUUUUGGAAUGGAGGUUUGCUAAAGAUCAUCCUGUUACGGUUUUUUGCCCUUGUGGUGCUGACCUCCUGGAAACUGUCACCCAUGUUUUGCUAUAUUGUUCUUUGUAUUGGGAUGCCAGAGAAGAACUUAUCUCCCCUCUGUUACUCACAUUUCCUGGAAGGUGUGAGCUCUUUUAUACAUAUUAUUGUCUCGUGGAUUUAAGCUCUGAGAUUACAAAAACUGUAGCCAAAUUUUUCUAUAUUGCCAGUAGGUUAAGGUCCCAACUAAGCACUUAACUGCGAGAGCUGUCUACUGUUUUUAAGUAAUUUAUUAUGAGUGAUUGUAUUUUGUUUUACUGUGUUUUAGCAUUGUUUACCGAUUCUUGUAUUGGACAUAUUUGUUACUUCUGUUUUUGCUGGCUAGUGGUUGUAAAUUGAUGAUGAUGAUAAAAAGCUUGGCUGAAGAGAUGUGUCUUCAGUUGUUUCCUAAAGGUCAACAGGGAUGGAGCAGCCCCAAUGCCAGCAGGAGGUGCACCCCACAGCCCUGGGGCAAGGACAGAGAAGGUUCGCCUCUGAGUUAUCACCAGAUGAGCCGGUGGCACCCUCAGACGAACCUCCUCCUGGAAGAUCUUAAUAGGCAGCGGAAUUCCUAACGAAGAAGGCAGUCUCUUAAAUAGGGACAGUUGCUCUCUCCCUGCUAAAUAUAAGAGAGCCCCCACUUUCAAAGGGGCCUCUUUGCACAGUUAGCAGAGUUAUCUCUUAAGGAAGCCAGUCAGUGGUGUGUUUAAAUCUUUCCUUUCUUUCCAAAACUUUGUCUACAGUUAAUGUUCAUCUUGGAACUCUUUAUGUUGAAGUUGGAUUGUUUUUAAUUUUCAUCAAGGACUCUGCGUUGGAUAAAAGAACGGGGAAUUGAUUAAAUACACAAAUCUCCCAUCCCGUUGCUCCCUUUCCCAACGUUUCCCCCAUUUUUUUAAAGUCCAAGGGCCACCAGGUGGCACCAGAGUCAGACCAGCCUUGCUGCAUUUUAAUCCUUUUGUGUUCUGGUGGACUUCUGAGCUACCACUUGUGCAUUUUGUAAUAAAUGGUCACAUU
Molecule: long non-coding RNA, 1868 nt
Organism: Hemicordylus capensis (graceful crag lizard)
Lineage: Eukaryota; Metazoa; Chordata; Lepidosauria; Squamata; Cordylidae
Exons: 3
Source: RefSeq, a predicted model, not a curated record